This 254-nucleotide ribosomal RNA is filed under the name uncultured bacterium. RNAcentral describes it as "partial 16S ribosomal RNA". It matches the Rfam family "Bacterial small subunit ribosomal RNA", at positions 524 to 776 of the family's 1533-position model. The record is from RNAcentral.
UACGGGGGGAGCAAGCGUUGUUCGGAUUUACUGGGCGUAAAGGGCGCGUAGGCGGUCAGCACAAGUCAGUUGUGAAAUCUCCGGGCUUAACUCGGAAAGGUCAACUGAUACUGUGCGACUAGAGUGCAGAAGGGGCAACUGGAAUUCUCGGUGUAGCGGUGAAAUGCGUAGAUAUCGAGAGGAACACCUGCGGCGAAGGCGGGUUGCUGGGCUGACACUAACGCUGAGGCGCGAAAGCCAGGGGAGCGAACGGG